AGUGAACGCUGGCGGUAGGCCUAACACAUGCAAGUCGAACGGCAGCACAGGAGAGCUUGCUCUCUAGGUGGCGAGUGGCGGACGGGUGAGGAAUACAUCGGAAUCUGCCCAGUCGUGGGGGAUAACGUAGGGAAACUUACGCUAAUACUGCAUACGACCUUCGGGUGAAAGAGGGGGAUCGCAAGACCUCUCGCGAUUGGAUGAGCCGAUGUCGGAUUAGCUAGUUAGCGGGGUAAUGGCCCACCAAGGCGACGAUCCGUAGCUGGUCUGAGAGGAUGAUCAGCCACACUGGAACUGAGACACGGUCCAGACUCCUACGGGAGGCAGCAGUGGGGAAUAUUGGACAAUGGGCGCAAGCCUGAUCCAGCCAUACCGCGUGGGUGAAGAAGGCCUUCGGGUUGUAAAGCCCUUUUGUUGGGAAAGAAAUCUUUCAGGCUAAUACCCUGGGAGGAUGACGGUACCCAAAGAAUAAGCACCGGCUAACUUCGUG
RNAcentral lists this ribosomal RNA (490 nucleotides) under uncultured bacterium. RNAcentral's name for it is "partial 16S ribosomal RNA". It matches the Rfam family "Bacterial small subunit ribosomal RNA", at positions 29 to 507 of the family's 1533-position model. The record is from RNAcentral.